UUUGAUUUUAGAAAAGACGGUUAACAAUGGUUGGUGGAAAUUCGUGUCAUGCAAAUGUCAAAGCCAUACUUUCUAAACUCAUGACAAACAAGUUGAUGGCAUGUUACAACAUGAAUGGAAAAAAUAAAAAAUCAUUCA
This is a non-coding RNA of Hydra vulgaris (swiftwater hydra), 138 nucleotides long. NCBI's taxonomy places the organism in Eukaryota, Metazoa, Cnidaria, Hydrozoa, Anthoathecata, Hydridae. The record is from RefSeq and is a predicted model, not a curated record.